This 73-nucleotide transfer RNA is filed under the name Sandaracinaceae bacterium. RNAcentral's name for it is "tRNA-Ala". It matches the Rfam family "tRNA". Rfam says of the family: Transfer RNA (tRNA) molecules are approximately 80 nucleotides in length. Their secondary structure includes four short double-helical elements and three loops (D, anti-codon, and T loops). Lineage: Bacteria; Pseudomonadati; Myxococcota; Polyangiales; Sandaracinaceae. The record is from RNAcentral.
GGGGCUGUAGCUCAGUUGGGAGAGCGCUGCGUUCGCAAUGCAGAGGUCAGGGGUUCGAUUCCCCUCAGCUCCA